ACUCCGCCGGCGUUUCCAUGGUGGCAAGUGGCCGGUUCCUUGCGGGGCUGAGCAACAAAGUAGUAUCAGUGUUCGGUGGCUCCACUGGAACUACGCAGAGCCAGACCAGCGGGACCACAGAAUGGGCUGAGGCGGCGGCGGCUGUUUGGAUAAAGUCAACAGCGGGACGUGGGGCGUGACGCCGUAGUAAAAGCCCAGCUUGAAAAUGGAGAUGUAUGAAACCCUUGGAAAAGUGGGAGAGGGAAGUUACGGAACAGUCAUGAAAUGUAAACAUAAGAAUACUGGGCAGAUAGUGGCCAUUAAGAUAUUUUAUGAGAGACCAGAACAAUCUGUCAACAAAAUUGCGAUGAGAGAAAUAAAGUUUCUAAAGCAAUUUCAUCACGAAAACCUGGUCAAUCUGAUUGAAGUUUUUAGACAGAAAAAGAAAAUUCAUUUGGUAUUUGAAUUUAUUGACCACACAGUAUUAGAUGAGUUACAACAUUAUUGUCAUGGACUAGAGAGUAAGCGACUUAGAAAAUACCUCUUCCAGAUCCUUCGAGCAAUUGACUAUCUUCACAGUAAUAAUAUCAUUCAUCGAGAUAUAAAACCUGAGAAUAUUUUAGUAUCCCAGUCAGGAAUUACUAAGCUCUGUGAUUUUGGUUUUGCACGAACACUAGCAGCUCCUGGGGACAUUUAUACGGACUAUGUGGCCACACGCUGGUAUAGAGCUCCCGAAUUAGUAUUAAAAGAUACUUCUUAUGGAAAAUUCAUGCCAGAACUGAAAGCUAAAUUACUGCAGGAAGCAAAAGUCAAUUCAUUAAUAAAGCCAAAAGAGAGUUCUAAAGAAAAUGAACUCAGGAAAGAUGAAAGAAAAACAGUUUAUACCAAUACACUGCUAAGUAGUUCAGUUUUGGGAAAGGAAAUAGAAAAAGAGAAAAAGCCCAAGGAGAUCAAAGUCAGAGUUAUUAAAGUCAAAGGAGGAAGAGGAGAUAUCUCAGAACCAAAAAAGAAAGAGUAUGAAGGUGGACUUGGUCAACAGGAUGCAAAUGAAAAUGUUCAUCCUAUGUCUCCAGAUACAAAACUUGUAACCAUUGAACCACCAAACCCUAUCAAUCCCAGCACUAACUGUAAUGGCUUGAAAGAAAAUCCACAUUGCGGAGGUUCUGUGACAAUGCCACCCAUCAAUCUAACUAACAGUAAUUUGAUGGCUGCAAAUCUCAGUUCAAAUCUCUUUCACCCCAGUGUGAGGUUAACUGAAAGAGCAAAAAAGAGACGCACUUCUUCACAAUCUAUUGGACAAGUUAUGCCUAAUAGCAGGCAAGAGGAUCCAGGUCCUAUUCAAAGCCAAAUGGAGAAGGGUAUAUUUAAUGAGCGAACAGGUCACAGUGACCAAAUGGCAAAUGAGAACAAAAGGAAGCUGAAUUUUUCCAGAUCUGACAGGAAAGAAUUCCAUUUUCCAGAAUUGCCUGUCACAAUACAGUCAAAAGAUACAAAAGGAAUGGAAGUUAAACAGAUAAAAAUGCUGAAGAGGGAGUCAAAGAAAACAGAGUCAUCUAAGAUACCAACUUUACUUAACGUGGAUCAAAAUCAAGAAAAACAAGAGGUACGUCUUUAUCAGCGGCAUGAAGACAGACCAAUACAGUGAAUUGGUACCAGUAGAGUGGGGCAUUGCUGAAAAGAUACCCAAAAAUGUGGAAGCAACUUUGGAACUGGGUAACAGGCAGAGGUUUGAACAGUUUGGAGAGCUCAGAAGAAGACAGGAAAAUGUGGGAAAGUUUGGAACUUUCUAGAGACUUGUUGAAUGGCUUUGACCAGAAGCUUGAUCAUGAUAUGGACAAUAAAAUCCAAGCUGAGGUGGUCUCAGAUAGAGAUGAGGAACUUGUUGGGAACUGGAGCAAAGGUGACUCUUGUUAUGUUUUAGCAAAGAGAUUGGCAGCAUUUUGCCCCUGCACUAGAGAUUGUGGAACUUUGAACUUGAGAGAGGUGAUUUAGGGU
Molecule: long non-coding RNA, 1974 nt
Filed under: Homo sapiens (human)
Lineage: Eukaryota; Metazoa; Chordata; Mammalia; Primates; Hominidae
Description: non-protein coding lnc-CDKL3-2:11
Source: RNAcentral